Molecule: long non-coding RNA, 1546 nt
Filed under: Fukomys damarensis (Damara mole-rat)
Lineage: Eukaryota; Metazoa; Chordata; Mammalia; Rodentia; Bathyergidae
Description: lncRNA (ENSFDAG00000023399.1)
Source: RNAcentral
UGGGAACGGCGCCACCCGGGCCCCAACCCGCUGGACCCUCAGGACCCCAGCCCCGACGCCUACUGCAACCUGGUCAUCCUGGCUGUGCCCAACAGGGAUGCUGCUGAGGAGUCCUGUGCACUCAUCUGUCAGGUUUUCCAGAUCAUCUAUGGGGACCAGAGCAUCGAGUGUGUGGACCGGGCCGGCUACCACUACAUGUCCACACCUGAGCGGCCGUGGCUCUGCAGCCGCAGUGAGAGCUGCCAUACAGAUGGGACUUACGCCUAUGACGCCGACUUCAGCUGCUGCAGCUCCUUCAACGGUUCCCAGGACACAUUUGAAGCGUGCUACAGUGGUACAUCCACUCCUUCUUUCCACGGCUCACACUGCAGUGGCAGUGACCACAGCGGCCUGAGCCUUGAGCAGCUGCAGGAUUACAUGAUCACGCUCCGGAGUAAGCUGGGGUCCUCUGAGAUCCAGCAGUUUGCACUGCUCCUGCGGGAGUACCGGCUGGGACUGCACAUCCAGGACUUCUGUGCCGGCCUGCUGAAGCUCUACGGAGACCACCGCAAGUUCCUGCUCCUGGGGAUGCGGCCCUUCAUCCCAGACCAGGACAUCUGCUACUUCGAGGGCUUCCUGGAGGGCGUGGGUAUCCGAGAGGGCGGCAUCCUCACCGACAGCUUUGGCCGCAUCAAGCGCAGCAUGAGCUCCACGUCGGCGUCAGCGGUGCGCAGCUAUGACGGCGCGGCCCAGCGGCCCGAGGAGCAGGCCUUCCACCGGCUGCUGACAGAUAUCACGCACGACAUUGAGGCGCUGGCCCCUGACGACGAAGACGAUGACGAUGACGGUGACGGUGACGACAAUGACAAUGACAAGUCCCGGGGUGGGGGCAAUGUGGCGGAAGACAACUACCUGUAGCCUCUGCCCCCUUGCAGUCCGCCUCUGAGCCUUCCUUACUCUUGCCUGUGAGACCCCAUCCCUACCCAUCUUUGCUCCCUUGUUGCGUCCCUUCACCAGGGCUCCACUCCCGGGGUCUCUGACCCUGGCCUUUGUGACUCUGGCCCCUGAAGUACCAGAAUGUCCUGCAGGGGGCGGGCGAGGGCAGAUCCUAAAGGCCCGGGCUGUCACCAGGGGUCAGCAGGAGCCAAGGAGCCCUGGUCGGCUUCAGAACAUUUCUUCCUCCUCAGGACCCCUCAGCUUUUCCAAGGCUGAGAGAUGAAGAAGGGCUCCACCUGCUGGCAGACUGAGAAAAGAAUUUUGAGUCAAAUCCACACGACACAUACACUACUUUUUAUACAUGCAUUUUUUCUCAGAGACCUCUACUUCUUUUACAGAUUUGAAAACUGAGUUCAAAAAAGGGCAAGAGGCGUGAGGGAAUCUCCUGAUUCUCCUUUGAUAUUGUUUCCCAGUUUCUUCCUCUCUCCAUUUCAGCCCCACCUUCACAGGGUGGUCAUGGGAAAUUAAUGAAGGGUAAGACCUUAGUGCUGGGCCUAGCGCAUAGUUGAUGCUCAAUAAAUGCUGUUCCUUUCCCUAUGGAAUGCCUUCUGGCUUGGUUUACUGUCUCUUC